UUUUUUUUUUUUUUUUUUACCAUUUUUACAUUAGACAAGAUAGGAAUCAGGGUGGAAGAAAAGGAAAAAUUUUGGUUCACUUUAAGUUGCAUCCCACAAAAGACAAUUUCAUUUCUUGAAAAUGAUAUAUAUAGGUGUAUGUAUUAUAGUAAUAUCUAGUUUCCGACGUAGUAGUGUUUUGCAAAACAAAGUAACUAAUACAUGCAUUAUUUGGAUCUAUAUAUUAUUUUAUACGAGAUUUGAUAUGAAAAAAGAAUCUGUAUACCUAAAACAUUUGUUUGGGCAAGAAUCUAAAACUUGUGCAAGUCAUAUAAAUAUAUGGAUCGAUAACUUGUUAUACCUUUUUUGGUCUCCCACCAUACAUUUCUUUGUGUGUUUUAUCAAUAUCCUUAUUUGUCUAAAUUUACUCAUAUCAUACUUCUUUUUCAGAUUAGUCACGUCAGAUUUUAUCUAGAUAAGUUCACUUUGAUGAUAAUUGAUAAGAUAACAAGCAAUAAUACAUGAGGUGAGAACAAGCAUAAUCACUUUCAUAACAGAUAGUGUCUCGCAUUCAAGUUGCAAACUUGAUGAAAUUGAUUGAAUUCGGUCCAAGCAAAAUAUAUCCAGAAUUUCUUUUAUUAAUUCCCAACCAUCACUAGAGUGCGUCAUCCCUAAACAGUAGCUCAGAGUUUAUAUCUUAAGGCAUGCUGAAACAACAGAACAGAAGAUUUUUUUUAUUAAUAUAGUUUAAUAUGUAGUACUUCUUUCUCUAUUUCAAUUUAUGUGUCUUAGUUUGACAAAAUAUAAAUUUUAAGAAAGUAAAGAAUACUUUUAAAUCUUGUCGUUUUAAAUUAAAGAUGUGCGUAAUAUGCCAAAAUUUCCUGAAAUCCAGAGGCGGAUCCAUGAUUUCAAGAUGAUGGGUGCAGAAUUUAAAAUUUACAUUUGACUAGUUUAGUCUCUUACCAUAAACCGAAUAUACUUUUGAAAUUGUAGAUUAUAUUCUUUUUGAAAUUUUAGUGCCAAUUUCACUUAUAGGUUUCUGCUGGUGUUACUAAUGAAUUGUCUUUUCUUGUUUUUUUAUUUUCGUUUUUCUGAACCGAGGGUCUAUCGGAAACAGCCUCUCUGCCCUAUCGGGUCAGGGGUAAGGUCUGCGUACACAUUACCCUCCAUAAACCCCACUUUAUGCGAUUUUACUGGAUAGUUGUUGUUGAGGAGUUUUUAAGCGUGGGUACACACACAUAUAUUUGAGUAAUUUUAAAAAAAUAUAAAAUCGUUAUACAUGGUUUAAUGAGAGGAGCAUAAGUUCACGUGAACUCAUACCUCUUAACCUAGAUACGCCCUGCUUAAAUCUUAUGGUAUUAAAUAUACCAUGUGAAAAGUUGGAGCUAGCAAACUACUAAAUAUAGAAAGCGAUACUCUUUUUGAAUCACGACUAAAAUGGAAAGUAUGGUACGUAUAAAUUCAAACGGAGAGAGUAGUAGGUUCCUUACCAUUUUUACAUGUUAGCAGUUAAUGCUUACCAUAAUGAGUUCCUUGUACCUGACCGAUUACGUGAUUGUAUAAAUAUUUCUUAUAUCGUCGGUGCCUAUACUCUUUCCCUCCAUUUUUAUUUGGCAGGUAUAUUAAAAAUAUAUUUUUAUUUUUACUUGUUAUUUUACACAUAUCAAGAGAUGAUAAUUUUUUUUCUUGUUAUAUCCACAUUAUUUAUUACUCAUUUCAAAUCAUUUUCUCAAAUCCAAUAAAAUAUAUAUCAAUUAAUAUGGGUACAGGGCGGACCUACUGCAUAGACUAUGGUUUCCCGGGAACCAAGUAACUCUUGCGUAGAUUCUGUAUUUAUAUUAAGAAAUUUACCAAAUAUUGGUAAAUAUGAACUUAGUUAUUAUUGUAUAUUAAUCUGAAAUUACGGUAUCAUGAUAAAUUAUGCACUUCAUUUAUUAUUUUUUAAGGAGCGUAGAAAGUUAAAACGUUGCAAGUAAAAGUGAACGGAUGGAAUAACUUAAAACUUUAUGACAUACAAAUCUCUGCACCGAAUUUAAGGACUAGUACAGCUUAUUCAAGUUUGACCUUUUACAAGAACAGCUCGAAAUUUGAUUAAGCAGCAACCACAAUAGUAGCUUUUUUCUCUGUUCUAAAACAAACCCCACAGUCACAAAGCAAAAAUUGUAGAUCUUUAUGUUAUUUUAUUUUUGUUACUUUGUGAAGAAACAAUUAAAUAAAUAAGCCCCUCAACUCAGUGGCAAGGGCAGGAUUUCCACGAAGGGGGUUCAAAAAAAAAAAUUGUAGCUAGUGGAAUUGAACCCAUGACCUUAGGUAGAUUUUGAACCCCCUUGACCACUAAACUACACUUUUGGAUUGUAUUAAGGGGGUUCAAAACUUAAUGUAUAGAGGUAAAAAACAGAUUUUGCCUUAUAUAUACAGUAUAAUUUUUCGGCGAAGGGGUAUGGAUGAACCCCCUAGCGCCCCCUAAAUCCGCCCCCGCCUCAACCCCUAUCUCCCUCCCCAUGCAUUAAAGAUGAUCAAGCAUAUUCCAGCGAUAAUAGAUAACUAUAUUUUGGUAUUGGAGCAAUGUUGAUCUGUUCCAAUUUAUGUAAAUCUAUUUCCUUUUUGGUCUGUUUAAAAAAGAAUGAUCCCUUUUUAAAUUUGGUAACAAUUUAGCUUAAACUUACAAUUCUACCCUUCAUGAGAAGGGUUUAUAACCACACAAAUACUCUGGACCACUUUUUGACCUGUUUAGGACCACAAAUUCCCCAAUCAAACAGAUUCACAUAAAUUGAAACGGAGGGAGUAAUAUACUAAGUAGUGAUAUAGAACAUUAAUCUACACUCAAAAGCUGGUAGUUUCCCCUCCACUGCUUAACUUAUCAUUCUAAUUUAUUUCUGAUCUCUUAUUAUGAGUUUUAAAUUCUAUGAUAGUGACAUAAGACAUUAAUAAUUGGAUUCUAAAUUUAAUUUUUGUACAUAUAUUUAGCUGGAUUUCUUAAUACAAAUGCAGUAUUUGAACUAAAGCUAUCCAUUUCGGUCGACAUGGGCGAAACUACAUAGUUACAAGCAGAGGCGGAGCUAAAAUUUGAAGUUUGUGGGUUCGAGAUUCUAAAUUCUUUAAGUUACGGGGUUCUAAAUUAAUAAUUUAUACAUAUUUAAUAAAAAAAUUUAAGACAUAUACAUGAUUUGCACCAAAGCCACUGGGUUCGGUCGAACCCAUAUCUCCUACUCUCCCUCCGCCCCUGGUUACAAGGGUGGCCAAUUGACCAGCCUUCGUUGAAAAAUUAUAUUGUGUAUAUAGGUAAAGUAUUAGGUUUUAGAUGUAUAUAAUAUAUAUUGAACCUACUUUGUCGGAGAAUUUUUUUCACUUCUUUCAAGUUUGAACACCUUUAGGAAAAUUCCUGACUUCGCCAUUGUCGGUCGAACAACCUUCUAGCUCCGCCCCUGGUCAAAAAAGCUUAUCUCUGCAACUGCAUUUCCAUGAAAGAAGAUAAUAGUUGCUAUCUUUUUCAUUAGCGUUCCUCUUCUGGCGAGGUGGGAUGACUAGAGUUGCCCUACAUGGCUGGCAAUUCAUGCACUUGUUUACACAAUCUGGUGGCUUUGACCCCAUCACCAUUUUCCUUGACAUUCCCACUGAAACAAACACAAAUGUCAAUCUAACAAAAAAAGCAAAUGAAAUAUUUAUCUCUCAUCACCUGUGUUAAUUUUUAAUUUCCACUAAAAUUGAAAAAAAGAGCCGUGGAAAUAGCCUGUUGCAGAAAUGCAUGGUAAGGCGUACGAUAAACCCUUGAGCCCGACCCUUCCCUGGACCCCAACAUAGCAGGAGCUUAGUGCACUAGUCUUUCUACAAUUGAAACAAGAAUUAAAUUUCAGCAAAAAGUAAACUUGUGACUUCACCUGAUUCAGAAGGUUGAAAUGUAAGAGACAAUAAAAGGACCAAUGUAACUACAAUCUUCAGACAAAACAUGCAUGUAUUUGAAAGAGACAUUAGUUUGCUAAUGGCUUUGUCCUAAAGUUAUAUGCAGGGGAUGAGCAAAGAACUAUAAGCAGUGGAAUGGUAUUUAUGAAUAGAAAAGGCUUACUAAUGUUUCCAGAAGAAGGGACAAUAGGCUGAUACCAAAAGCUUCUUCACCAAUCACAUGACAUUUCACAUUGAAACUUUAAUUCUGAAAUUUUCUGUGCCUCUAUCUGGGAAUUGCUGCUGGUUACAAUGCAUCUUAGUUGACUGUUUGACAAUUUUGCUUACAUCAAAGUUCAAACUUGAUUGUUCCAACAUUUUCAACAGGUCAUUCUGAUCAGUCAAAUCAAUUAAUCAAAUCUUUUGCUUUCCUUGUUUUUGAGGGUAACGACAAUUGUCAGUGUUCCUUUAGAAAUGAAACUGAUGAUAAUGGAAAAUGCAAAUCAAGCUUAGCAAAUAUUUUUCCCAUUUUUAAAACUUCCUAACUCAAGCCUCUAGUUUCUAAACUUAGAAAAUAUAUAUGGGAUUUUUACCUAGUUAUACUAUAAUAUAUAUGCCUUACAAUUUCUUUGGCCAAUUGCUUUUGGUGAAGGUAUUUUAGUACACUUUUGUUACUAUCACCUAAAAAGACCAGAUGGAUAGGCAGACAAAAGCAGCAAUAAGUGGGGUGUGAGAAGGAUAGUGUAUACGUAAUCCGAGAAGAAUAGUAUAUACACAAUCCUUAUCCCUACCUUGUGGGGUAGGAAGGUUGUUUCCCACAUGCAUACGAAAGCCUCCCACUUAUUUAGUUUAAUCUGGAAACGACUCUGCACGUUGAGUGAUAGUACAACGUAGAAUCCAGUAAAAGAACUUAGAAAAAUUGAGAUUCACUUUGUAAAAAGAAACUUUUUUUUCCCCUGUUAACGAAUAUGAUCCAGAUUGAGUACACAAACAGAACCCAGUGUCUUUUCACUGUUGUUUAGGCUAGCUGCUUCAGGGUGCUGUCCUCCAUAAAUCCAAAUAUUAAAGUGGCAUCUGAUAUGACAUCACAUAGACAUAUUCCUGUCAUUAACUGCAAGAAAUCUUGGAGUUUAACUUGACGAUUCUAUUCGUUAUGUUAAGUCAUUCAGUUUCCAUUCUCGAGUUGAAGCUACACUACCUCACUAGGUUGCCAAUCAAAAAAUAUUUACUAGGCUCCUUCAAUUUUGAAUAACUAGUAUUCGCGCGGACACAAACUAUGUCAAAACUGACUUGGAUUAUUCGAAUUAUAUAGAAAUAACUUUAAAAUAUAAACCUUUAGAACCAGGACAUGAAAUUAUUUCUCAAAUGUCAUAAUCGGUGAUCUAUUUUCUUUUUCUAUAUCUGUAACAACCAAACCCCUUCAUUUUAGUAUUUUCAUUUCGUUUUGCUAUCAAUACUAAAGAAUAUUAAAAAUGUCAUAUUGUGAUAUGUGUUGUUUCAGGGAAAAGGAUAGAUCCUACAGGGAAAAAAAAGUAUGUGAAGCAGGUGACGGGGCGACACAACGACACGGAGCUACACCUCGCGGCUCAGCGCAGGGACGUGGGUGCAGUGAGGGAGAUAUUGGAGGAAAUCGAUGCACAAAUGUUGAAAACAUUGAGCGGAGCAGAGUUUGAUGCAGAGGUGGCGGCGAUAAGGGAGGCAAUGGUGAAUGAGGUGAAUGAAUUAGGGGAAACGGCAUUGUUCACCGCUGCUGAGCGGGGAUAUAUUGAUGUGGUUAAGGAAUUGCUUCCUUAUAGUACAAAGGAAGGAAUCGCUCUGGUUUUGAUCCCUUGCAUAUUGCUGCUAGCCAAGGUCACCAAGGUUAUGAACAUUUGUAUAUUGCUUGGAAGAAUUUUCUUUAAAGAGUAUUGGAUUGCUUGGUGUUGUUACUAGUAUGUGAAAACUGCGUGGUCAUCUCAUUGAAAAACUUUUCUUUGUAUGAUCUGAGACAAUUCUUAGCUCAUAAUUAGUUUUUGAGGCCAAAUUAGGCUCAAUGUCCAUAAUUAGUUGGUUUUUAAGUUUCAAUGCAUUAUUUUUAACAUGUAGGGGAGCUUUGGAACAAUGGUAAAGUUGUCUCCAUGUGACUUAUAGGUUACGGGUUCGAGCCGUGAAAGCAGUCACUAAUGCUUGCAUUAAAUUAGGAUGUCUACAUCACACCCUUUGGGUGCGGCACUUCCUCGGAUCCUACGUGAAUAUGGAAUGCCUUGUGCACUGCCAUGCAUUAUUUUGGUUUGACUGGUAUUAUCCUAGAAAUGAUAUUUUAACUCGUAUCCUAGAAAUAUGGAAUGAUAUUUUGGUUUGACUGGUAUUAUCCUAGGAUGUCUACAUCACACCCUUUGGGUGCGGCACUUCCUCGGAUCCUACGUGAAUAUGGAAUGCCUUGUGCACUGCCAUGCAUUAUUUUGGUUUGACUGGUAUUAUCCUAGAAAUGAUAUUUUAGCUCGUACUUUGUCUUUCUAAGUAUUUGAUCAAGUACUUGAGAAGGAUGGAGAUAGUCCAUCGAAGCCUGAGAAGAACCUAACUACUGAAAAAUGUAAUGUGCAGCUAUUGUUAAGUUACUAUUGGAGCAUGAGCCAUAGUUGAGCAAGACAGUUGGCCAAUCGAAUGCAACUCCUCUUGUAUCUGCAGCCACAAAAGGACAUACAUCAGUUGUCCAUGAAUUGCUUUCCAAGCCAGAUAUCAAGAUCCAAUGGCAAAAACGCGUUACAUUUGUCUGCCCGUCAAGGCCAUGUGGACAUUGUUAAAGCAUUGCUGGAAAAGGAUCCGCAACUGGCAAGAAGAACUGAUGAGAAAGGACAGACUGCACUACACAUGACUGUAAAAGGCGUUAGCAGUGAAGUAGUGAAGUUGCUUCUGCAAGCAGAUCCAGCCAUUGUAAUGCUGCCUGAUAAGUUUGGCAAUACUGCAUUGCAUAUUGCCACAAGGAAAAAGCGUUCAGAGGUAAGCGUUGUUGCUUUAUUGUCUGCAUCUUGUUUUCCUUGGCUCUGGAAACAGUGGCGGAUUUAGAGUAUAGUAUAUGGGUUCCCGGAAAUCCCGUAACUUUUGCGUAGACAUUGUAUUUCCAUAAAAAAGAAAUUCACUAACAACAACAACAUACACAAUCUUAUCCCACACCGUGGGGGAAAAAAUCCACUAAAUAUCUACUGUGAAUAGAGUUAUUAUUGUAUAUUAACAUUUACUAGGCUACACUACCUCACUCGGUUGCCAAUCAAAAAAUAUUUACUAGGCUCCUUUCAAUUUUGAAUAAUAUGUGUCCAACUCAUCUUCACAAAUCACAGGUAAAGCUAUCCCUGGUUUAAGUUUAGGGCACUUACUUUAUGAAAGUUAACAUUAUACUUCUCAGUAAUUUAAACGCAUUUCGAAAUUAUUUAUCGAACUUUAUCACUGUUCCACAUCUAUUUUAAAUCUGAAGACGGAAGGAACAAUCAAACCAAUAUAGAAGACAAGGUUGACGAAUUAACCAUUUAGUAGUAAUGCCACUGAGUUGUCGCUGGCCCGAUGCUUGGGACAGGAAAUGAUACAUGCUCGGUUUCUGUUAUAAAACUAAACUAAUAAAGCUUUUACAAGUCAUUUUCGUCAGACACAAAGAAGAAAAUAAAACAAAGAAAUCAAACCAUUAUUCCCUCUGGUUGAAAGGAGGAGAUGAUCACACGGAAUUUAAAGUUGCUUAAUUAGGAUAGACUUUGAAGAUAAACUUCAUAUCCGUCGGCCCAAAUGUGGAAUUUCUCUACUUUUCCCUUAAUCGAUUAAUAGAGCAUAAGAAAUAAACAUCCACUGCCAAAACCAGAAGAGUCAUCAGUUUUCAUAAAUGUGAACAACUUUCCCAGCACAAGAGUUCGUUUAAAUGUACGCCGAAGUAGAUUGAUUACAUGUCAUUUACAAAACACGCCACACCUAGUAAGCUCUCCGUGAACCAAAUCAAGUUUAGAUCAUCCUAAAAAGCCCUACUCCUUUGACGAUUUUUCCACAGCCUUGCAACAUCUCAAUCAUACAUUC
Molecule: long non-coding RNA, 7893 nt
Filed under: Nicotiana tabacum (common tobacco)
Lineage: Eukaryota; Viridiplantae; Streptophyta; Magnoliopsida; Solanales; Solanaceae
Description: long non-coding RNA (NTAB_LNC013431)
Source: RNAcentral